RNAcentral lists this ribosomal RNA (254 nucleotides) under uncultured bacterium. RNAcentral describes it as "partial 16S ribosomal RNA". It matches the Rfam family "Bacterial small subunit ribosomal RNA", at positions 524 to 776 of the family's 1533-position model. The record is from RNAcentral.
UACGUAGGGGGCAAGCGUUGUCCGGAUUUAUUGGGCGUAAAGAGCUCGUAGGUGGUUCGGUAAGUCGGAUGUGAAAUCUCCAGGCUCAACCUGGAGGGGUCAUUCGAUACUGCCGUGACUAGAGGUCGGUAGGGGAGUGUGGAAUUCCCGGUGUAGCGGUGAAAUGCGCAGAUAUCGGGAAGAACACCCGUGGCGAAGGCGGUUCUCUGGGACGGUACUGACGCUGAGGAGCGAAAGCAUGGGGAGCGAACAGG